GCCAGCGACCAUACCACGUUGAAAGCACCACUUCUCGUCCGAUCACCACAGUUAAGCAACGUUGAGCCCGGUCAGUACUUGCAUGAGUGACCGGCUGAGAAUACCGGGUGUCGCAGGCU
Non-coding RNA from Schistosoma mattheei, 119 nucleotides. Lineage: Eukaryota; Metazoa; Platyhelminthes; Trematoda; Strigeidida; Schistosomatidae. The record is from Rfam.